GUUUAAGCCCGAGGCAGAUUCAGAAAAUGCGUAUGAUCAAGUGGAACCAACUUUGCAAAGAUGACUUGAGCAGAAUGUUUCACAGUGUGAUGAACUAUCCUUCCACUAAAGCACAACAAGUUUGAAGUACCAUCUUCGGAUGAAACACAUUUUUGCUGAUGUUCACUAGCAAAGAUGCUAGGUGCUGAGACAGGGUUAACAAGCCGUGCUCAACAAACAACACUGGCAGAGUGCGG
Ictalurus punctatus (channel catfish) is the source of this 236-nucleotide long non-coding RNA. RefSeq lists it as uncharacterized. The transcript is spliced from 2 exons. Lineage: Eukaryota; Metazoa; Chordata; Actinopteri; Siluriformes; Ictaluridae. The record is from RefSeq and is a predicted model, not a curated record.